CUACACAUGCAGUAGAACGCUGAGGUUUGGUGUUUACACUAGACUGAUGAGUUGCGAACGGGUGAGUAACGCGUAGGUAACCUGCCUCAUAGCGGGGGAUAACUAUUGGAAACGAUAGCUAAUACCGCAUAAGAGUAAUUAACACAUGUUAGUUAUUUAAAAGGAGCAAUUGCUUCACUGUGAGAUGGACCUGCGUUGUAUUAGCUAGUUGGUGAGGUAAAGGCUCACCAAGGCGACGAUACAUAGCCGACCUGAGAGGGUGAUCGGCCACACUGGGACUGAGACACGGCCCAAACUCCUACGGGAGGCAGCAGUAG
Molecule: ribosomal RNA, 317 nt
Filed under: Streptococcus agalactiae
Lineage: Bacteria; Bacillati; Bacillota; Bacilli; Lactobacillales; Streptococcaceae
Description: bacterial SSU rRNA
Rfam family: Bacterial small subunit ribosomal RNA
Source: RNAcentral